GUGGGGAAUAUUGGACAAUGGGGGGAACCCUGAUCCAGCCAUGCCGCGUGUGUGAAGAAGGCCUUUUGGUUGUAAAGCACUUUAAGCGAGGAGGAGGCUACCGAGAUUAAUACUCUUGGAUAGUGGACGUUACUCGCAGAAUAAGCACCGGCUAACUCUGUGCCAGCAGCCGCGGUAAUACAGAGGGUGCAAGCGUUAAUCGGAUUUACUGGGCGUAAAGCGCGCGUAGGUGGCCAAUUAAGUCAAAUGUGAAAUCCCCGAGCUUAACUUGGGAAUUGCAUUAGAUACUGGUUGGCUAGAGUAUGGGAGAGGAUGGUAGAAUUCCAGGUGUAGCGGUGAAAUGCGUAGAUAUCUGGAGGAAUACCGAUGGCGAAGGCAGCCAUCUGGCCUAAUACUGACACUGAGGUGCGAAAGCAUGGGGAGCAAACAGGAUUAGAUACCCCAGUAGUCC
This 451-nucleotide ribosomal RNA is filed under the name uncultured bacterium. RNAcentral describes it as "partial 16S ribosomal RNA". It matches the Rfam family "Bacterial small subunit ribosomal RNA", at positions 354 to 796 of the family's 1533-position model. The record is from RNAcentral.